CCUCAAUCGGCCAAACCGUGAGGGAGCAGACCCCCGUGAGGGAUGUCGGCUUAUUUGUUGUAAGCCUAUUAUCUCAGGGGGGAAAUCAGAGGGUUUCCGUGGAAAAAGCGUCGGUUAAAUUCGUUCCCGCCGGCGGGUUAGUCGGGGGGUUCAAGUGUUUCUCGGAAUCACUGGGCGUAAAGGGUCUGAGGGGGUAUAGACAAGUUCAGUGUUGAAUCUUGGCGUUACACUUCGAAAUUGCCGUUGAAUCUGGUUGGUUAGGGUAUGUUAGGGGGAAGGGGAAUUUCCUGUGGAGGGGUGAAAAGGCUAGAGUUUUGAAAGAACCCCCAUGGGGGAGGCCAUUUUAUGGGCUAUUAAUGGCACUCGGAGGAGAAAGGUAGGGUAGCAAAACGGAAUAGAUACCCCUGUUGUCCCACCCGUAAACAGAGGAUUAUUGGUUGUUGGCAGAUCUACUUUUUCAGUGGUUAAGCUAACGCGAUAAGUAUC
Molecule: ribosomal RNA, 486 nt
Filed under: uncultured bacterium
Lineage: Bacteria
Description: partial 16S ribosomal RNA
Rfam family: Bacterial small subunit ribosomal RNA
Source: RNAcentral